This 345-nucleotide unclassified non-coding RNA is filed under the name soil metagenome. RNAcentral's name for it is "partial contains 5.8S ribosomal RNA, internal transcribed spacer 2, and large subunit ribosomal RNA". The stretch from base 1 to 120 matches the Rfam family "5.8S ribosomal RNA", at positions 35 to 154 of the family's 154-position model. The record is from RNAcentral.
GAUGAAGAACGUAGCGAAAUGCGAUACGUAAUGUGAAUUGCAGAAUUCAGUGAAUCAUCGAGUCUUUGAACGCACAUUGCGCCCCCUGGUAUUCCGGGGGGCAUGCCUGUCCGAGCGUCAUUGCUGCCCUCAAGCACGGCUUGUGUGUUGGGCCUCCGUCCUCCUCCCGGGGGACGGGCCCGAAAGGCAGCGGCGGCACCGCGUCCGGUCCUCGAGCGUAUGGGGCUUCGUCACCCGCUCUUGUAGGNCNGGCCGGCGCUUGCCGACACAUCAAUCUUUUUUCCAGGUUGACCUCGGAUCAGGUAGGGAUACCCGCUGAACUUAAGCAUAUCAAUAAGCGGAGGA